AAGAAAGAAAAGACAGAAAGAGAAAGGAAGGAAGGAAGGUUUUAAUGAGGAGACAAUGCUUUUUGUCCCUGAGCUUCUCUUGUUCAAGUGCAGAACAGAAAAAGGAGAGAGAAAGUUUGAUGCAGGGAUCAGGCCUCCUCAGCCGCUGAUGCCUCAUGAUAGAAGCACCGUGGCUUCUCAAGGACUGUAGGUUACAGAAGGCUCCCGUCUAGACUGAGUCAGGCCUGGUGGCUGGCACACACACAGUCUACCCAGUGUCUGCAAGAGCAGCCAAUUGGGAGACACUCCACACUUCUCUCUGAGUCAUUGCCUUGUCCAUCCAGGUGCCCACAGCACACACCAACCCACUGCAAACAAGACCUUUUCUCCUGGGAGAAAGCCUCAACGUUUUCAAGCUUGAGUUUUCAGAGACUAUUCACAAUAGCAAAGAUAUGGAAUCACCCUAAGUGUCCGUCAGCUAAUGAUUGGAUAAGGAAAGUGUCGUAUACAUGGAAGACUCCUUAGCCAUAAAAAGAAGGAAAUCAUGUUUUUUGCAGCAACCGGGGUGAAACUGGAGGCCAUUAUCUUAACUGAAACAACUCAAAACCAAGAAGUCAAGCACUGCAUAUUCUCACUCAGAAGUGUGAGCUGAAAAAUGUGUACACAUGGAUGUACAGAGUGGAAUCACAGACUUUGGAGACACA
Molecule: long non-coding RNA, 683 nt
Filed under: Homo sapiens (human)
Lineage: Eukaryota; Metazoa; Chordata; Mammalia; Primates; Hominidae
Description: HSALNT0338415
Source: RNAcentral